CAGCAGCCGCGGGAAUACGUAGGUGGCAAGCGUUGUCCGGAAUUAUUGGGCGUAAAGGGCUCGCAGGCGGUUUCUUAAGUCUGAUGUGAAAGCCCCCGGCUCAACCGGGGAGGGUCAUUGGAAACUGGGAAACUUGAGUGCAGAAGAGGAGAGUGGAAUUCCACGUGUAGCGGUGAAACGCGUAGAGAUGUGGAGGAACACCAGUGGCGGAGGCGACUCUCUGGUCUGUAACUGACGCUGAGGAGCGAAAGCGUGGGGAGCGAACAGGAUUAGAUACCCCAGUAGUCCCUGUCUCUUAUAA
RNAcentral lists this ribosomal RNA (301 nucleotides) under uncultured bacterium. RNAcentral's name for it is "partial 16S ribosomal RNA". It matches the Rfam family "Bacterial small subunit ribosomal RNA", at positions 509 to 809 of the family's 1533-position model. The record is from RNAcentral.